GAGAGAGCCAUUGAGCAGUGGAAGUGAUAGAGUAUAUCAGUCAAAGAAAGAACCAAAAGGCAGAGGGAAAGAGUGUGAGAGAACUACUAUGCUCUGUCCCACUCCCUGAAUGUCUUCCCCUUCUCUACAGCCCAGAGAGAGAGAGAGAGAGCAAGAGCAAGAGAGACUACCUUUCCUUACUCUGGACUCUACUGCUCCACCAUGGCACCUGUCACAGACAGAGAGACACGGACCUAGGAGCGCUACAGUACCAGGAACACACAGAGUACAAAGGACUGGGAAUACUCACCACGACUGGAAGAAGCUUUUUCCUUUAACAAGUGUGACGAGAAAGAGAUACUGCUCUCCCGGGAACAGGCCCAGAUCCCCGUCACUUGCGUGAAGAAAAGACGGAGGAAAAGAGGACGCAGAUCAGGCUGCCUUUGGAGAAUCCGUAGGCGAGCGAGUAAACUCCCAAUGCCAUCAAUUCUACUUGCUAAAAUGCAAUCAUUGGAAAAUAAAAUGGAUGACCUACGAUUAUCCUACCAACGGGACAUUAAGAACUGUAAUAUCCUAUGUUUCACAGAGUCGUGGCUGAACGACGAAACGGACAAUAUAGAGCUGGAGGGAUUUUCCAUGCACCAGCAGAACAGAGAAGCUACGUCUGGUAAGAUGAGGGGUGGGGGUGUGUGUUUUUUUGUCAAUAACAGCUGGUGCGUGAUGUCUAAUAUUAAAGAAGUCUCGAGGUAUUGCUUACCUGAGGUAGAGCACCUAAUGAUAAGCUCUAGACCACACUAUCUACAUUAUUCAUAGCCGUCUAUUUACCACCACAGACCGAUGCUGGCACUAAGAACGCACUCAACCAACUCUAUAAGGCCAUAAGCAAACAAGAAAAUGCUCACCCAGAAGCGGUGCUCCUACUGGCCGGGGACUUUAAUGCAGGCAAACUUAAAUCAGUUUUACCAAAUUUUACCAGCAUGUCACAUGUGCAACCAGAGUAAAAAAAAUCUCUAGACCACCUUUACUCCACUCACAGAGAUGCAUACAAAGCUCUCCCCGCCCUCCAUUUGGCAAAUCCGACC
This 1061-nucleotide long non-coding RNA is filed under the name Salmo salar (Atlantic salmon). RNAcentral's name for it is "lncRNA (ENSSSAG00000098636.1)". Lineage: Eukaryota; Metazoa; Chordata; Actinopteri; Salmoniformes; Salmonidae. The record is from RNAcentral.